This 76-nucleotide transfer RNA is filed under the name Crassvirales sp. Its description in RNAcentral is "tRNA-Met". It matches the Rfam family "tRNA". Rfam says of the family: Transfer RNA (tRNA) molecules are approximately 80 nucleotides in length. Their secondary structure includes four short double-helical elements and three loops (D, anti-codon, and T loops). Further hydrogen bonds mediate the characteristic L-shaped molecular structure. tRNAs have two regions of fundamental functional importance: the anti-codon, which is responsible for specific mRNA codon recognition, and the 3' end, to which the tRNAs corresponding amino acid is attached (by aminoacyl-tRNA synthetases). tRNAs cope with the degeneracy of the genetic code in two manners: having more than one tRNA (with a specific anti-codon) for a particular amino acid; and 'wobble' base-pairing, i.e. permitting non-standard base-pairing at the 3rd anti-codon position. Lineage: Duplodnaviria; Heunggongvirae; Uroviricota; Caudoviricetes; Crassvirales. The record is from RNAcentral.
UGCGAGGUAGACUGGAGGUGGCACCCAGCACUGUCUCAUAAGCAGUUCUACGAGGGUUCGAGUCCCUCCCUCGCAA